UUGAACGCUGGCGGCAUGCUUUACCCCUGCAAGUCGAACGGCAGCGCGGGCUUCGGCCUGGCGGCGAGUGGCGAACGGGUGAGUAAUGCAUCGGAACGUGCCCAGUAGUGGGGGAUAGCCCGGCGAAAGCCGGAUUAAUACCGCAUACGACCUGAGGGUGAAAGCGGGGGACCGAAAGGCCUCGCGCUAUUGGAGCGGCCGAUGUCGGAUUAGCUAGUUGGUGGGGUAAAGGCUUACCAAGGCGACGAUCCGUAGCUGGUCUGAGAGGACGACCAGCCACACUGGGACUGAGACACGGCCCAGACUCCUACGGGAGGCAGCAGUGGGGAAUUUUGGACAAUGGGGGCAACCCUGAUCCAGCCAAGCCGCGUGCGGGAAGAAGGCCUUCGGGUUGUAAACCGCUUUUGUUCGGGAAGAAAUCCUCUGGGCUAAUACCCCGGGGGGAUGACGGUACCGGAAGAAUAAGCACCGGCUAACUACGUG
RNAcentral lists this ribosomal RNA (483 nucleotides) under uncultured bacterium. RNAcentral describes it as "partial 16S ribosomal RNA". It matches the Rfam family "Bacterial small subunit ribosomal RNA", at positions 29 to 507 of the family's 1533-position model. The record is from RNAcentral.